UUAAGCGACUAAGCGUACACGGUGGAUGCCCUGGCAGUCAGAGGCGAUGAAGGACGUGCUAAUCUGCGAUAAGCGUCGGUAAGGUGAUAUGAACCGUUAUAACCGGCGAUUUCCGAAUGGGGAAACCCAGUGUGUUUCGACACACUAUCAUUAACUGAAUCCAUAGGUUAAUGAGGCGAACCGGGGGAACUGAAACAUCUAAGUACCCCGAGGAAAAGAAAUCAACCGAGAUUCCCCCAGUAGCGGCGAGCGAACGGGGAGCAGCCCAGAGCCUGAAUCAGUGUGUGUGUUAGUGGAAGCGUCUGGAAAGGCGCGCGAUACAGGGUGACAGCCCCGUACACAAAAAUGCACAUGCUGUGAGCUCGAUGAGUAGGGCGGGACACGUGGUAUCCUGUCUGAAUAUGGGGGGACCAUCCUCCAAGGCUAAAUACUCCUGACUGACCGAUAGUGAACCAGUACCGUGAGGGAAAGGCGAAAAGAACCCCGGCGAGGGGAGUGAAAAAGAACCUGAAACCGUGUACGUACAAGCAGUGGGAGCCUCUUUUAUGGGGUGACUGCGUACCUUUUGUAUAAUGGGUCAGCGACUUAUAUUCUGUAGCAAGGUUAACCGAAUAGGGGAGCCGAAGGGAAACCGAGUCUUAACUGGGCGUUAAGUUGCAGGGUAUAGACCCGAAACCCGGUGAUCUAGCCAUGGGCAGGUUGAAGGUUGGGUAACACUAACUGGAGGACCGAACCGACUAAUGUUGAAAAAUUAGCGGAUGACUUGUGGCUGGGGGUGAAAGGCCAAUCAAACCGGGAGAUAGCUGGUUCUCCCCGAAAGCUAUUUAGGUAGCGCCUCGUGAAUUCAUCUCCGGGGGUAGAGCACUGUUUCGGCAAGGGGGUCAUCCCGACUUACCAACCCGAUGCAAACUGCGAAUACCGGAGAAUGUUAUCACGGGAGACACACGGCGGGUGCUAACGUCCGUCGUGAAGAGGGAAACAACCCAGACCGCCAGCUAAGGUCCCAAAGUCAUGGUUAAGUGGGAAACGAUGUGGGAAGGCCCAGACAGCCAGGAUGUUGGCUUAGAAGCAGCCAUCAUUUAAAGAAAGCGUAAUAGCUCACUGGUCGAGUCGGCCUGCGCGGAAGAUGUAACGGGGCUAAACCAUGCACCGAAGCUGCGGCAGCGACGCUUAUGCGUUGUUGGGUAGGGGAGCGUUCUGUAAGCCUGUGAAGGUGUGCUGUGAGGCAUGCUGGAGGUAUCAGAAGUGCGAAUGCUGACAUAAGUAACGAUAAAGCGGGUGAAAAGCCCGCUCGCCGGAAGACCAAGGGUUCCUGUCCAACGUUAAUCGGGGCAGGGUGAGUCGACCCCUAAGGCGAGGCCGAAAGGCGUAGUCGAUGGGAAACAGGUUAAUAUUCCUGUACUUGGUGUUACUGCGAAGGGGGGACGGAGAAGGCUAUGUUGGCCGGGCGACGGUUGUCCCGGUUUAAGCGUGUAGGCUGGUUUUCCAGGCAAAUCCGGAAAAUCAAGGCUGAGGCGUGAUGACGAGGCACUACGGUGCUGAAGCAACAAAUGCCCUGCUUCCAGGAAAAGCCUCUAAGCAUCAGGUAACAUCAAAUCGUACCCCAAACCGACACAGGUGGUCAGGUAGAGAAUACCAAGGCGCUUGAGAGAACUCGGGUGAAGGAACUAGGCAAAAUGGUGCCGUAACUUCGGGAGAAGGCACGCUGAUAUGUAGGUGAAGCGACUUGCUCGUGGAGCUGAAAUCAGUCGAAGAUACCAGCUGGCUGCAACUGUUUAUUAAAAACACAGCACUGUGCAAACACGAAAGUGGACGUAUACGGUGUGACGCCUGCCCGGUGCCGGAAGGUUAAUUGAUGGGGUCAGCGCAAGCGAAGCUCUUGAUCGAAGCCCCGGUAAACGGCGGCCGUAACUAUAACGGUCCUAAGGUAGCGAAAUUCCUUGUCGGGUAAGUUCCGACCUGCACGAAUGGCGUAAUGAUGGCCAGGCUGUCUCCACCCGAGACUCAGUGAAAUUGAACUCGCUGUGAAGAUGCAGUGUACCCGCGGCAAGACGGAAAGACCCCGUGAACCUUUACUAUAGCUUGACACUGAACAUUGAGCCUUGAUGUGUAGGAUAGGUGGGAGGCUUUGAAGUGUGGACGCCAGUCUGCAUGGAGCCGACCUUGAAAUACCACCCUUUAAUGUUUGAUGUUCUAACGUUGACCCGUAAUCCGGGUUGCGGACAGUGUCUGGUGGGUAGUUUGACUGGGGCGGUCUCCUCCUAAAGAGUAACGGAGGAGCACGAAGGUUGGCUAAUCCUGGUCGGACAUCAGGAGGUUAGUGCAAUGGCAUAAGCCAGCUUGACUGCGAGCGUGACGGCGCGAGCAGGUGCGAAAGCAGGUCAUAGUGAUCCGGUGGUUCUGAAUGGAAGGGCCAUCGCUCAACGGAUAAAAGGUACUCCGGGGAUAACAGGCUGAUACCGCCCAAGAGUUCAUAUCGACGGCGGUGUUUGGCACCUCGAUGUCGGCUCAUCACAUCCUGGGGCUGAAGUAGGUCCCAAGGGUAUGGCUGUUCGCCAUUUAAAGUGGUACGCGAGCUGGGUUUAGAACGUCGUGAGACAGUUCGGUCCCUAUCUGCCGUGGGCGCUGGAGAACUGAGGGGGGCUGCUCCUAGUACGAGAGGACCGGAGUGGACGCAUCACUGGUGUUCGGGUUGUCAUGCCAAUGGCACUGCCCGGUAGCUAAAUGCGGAAGAGAUAAGUGCUGAAAGCAUCUAAGCACGAAACUUGCCCCGAGAUGAGUUCUCCCUGACUCCUUGAGAGUCCUGAAGGAACGUUGAAGACGACGACGUUGAUAGGCCGGGUGUGUAAGCGCAGCGAUGCGUUGAGCUAACCGGUACUAAUGAACCGUGAGGCUUAACCUU
RNAcentral lists this ribosomal RNA (2902 nucleotides) under Escherichia coli. RNAcentral describes it as "bacterial LSU rRNA". It matches the Rfam family "Bacterial large subunit ribosomal RNA". The record is from RNAcentral. Lineage: Bacteria; Pseudomonadati; Pseudomonadota; Gammaproteobacteria; Enterobacterales; Enterobacteriaceae. RNAcentral also lists the same sequence under 4 other names.